This 266-nucleotide ribosomal RNA is filed under the name uncultured archaeon. RNAcentral describes it as "partial 16S ribosomal RNA". It matches the Rfam family "Archaeal small subunit ribosomal RNA", at positions 718 to 982 of the family's 1478-position model. The record is from RNAcentral.
AGUCACUGACAUUAGAUACCCCCGUAGUCCCAGCCGUAAACUAUGCGCGUUAGGUGUAUCGGUGACCACGAGUUACCGAGGUGCCGAAGGGAAACCGUGAAACGUGCCGCCUGGGAAGUACGGUCGCAAGGCUGAAACUUAAAGGAAUUGGCGGGGGAGCACAACAACGGGUGGAGCCUGCGGUUUAAUUGGACUCAACGCCGGACAACUCACCGGGGACGACAGCAAUAUGUAGGCCAGGCUGAAGACCUUUGCCUGAAUCGCUG